CCUACGGGUGGCAGCAGUGGGGAAUAUUGGGCAAUGGGCGCAAGCCUGACCCAGCAACACCGCGUGAAGGAAGAAGGCUUUCGGGUUGUAAACUUCUUUUGUCAGGGACGAAGCAAGUGACGGUACCUGACGAAUAAGCCAAGGCUAACUACGUGCCAGCCGCCGCGGUAAUCCGUAGGUGGAACGCGUUAACCGGAUUUACUGGGUGUAAAGGUCGUGUAGGCGGGGAGGCAAGUCAGAUGUGAAAGCCCCGGGCUCAACCUGGGGCCUGCAUUUGAAUCUGUUUUGCUAGAGUGCUGGAGAGGCGAGCGGAAUUCCAUGUGUAGCGGUGAAAUGCGUAGAGAUACGGAGGAACACCAGUGGCGAAGGCGGAUUGCUGGACAGGAACUGACGCUGAGGCGCGAAAGCGUGGGGAGCAAACAGGAUUAGAUACCCUAGUAGUC
RNAcentral lists this ribosomal RNA (443 nucleotides) under uncultured bacterium. RNAcentral describes it as "partial 16S ribosomal RNA". It matches the Rfam family "Bacterial small subunit ribosomal RNA", at positions 338 to 795 of the family's 1533-position model. The record is from RNAcentral.